This 1125-nucleotide ribosomal RNA is filed under the name Pemphigus obesinymphae. Its description in RNAcentral is "partial 16S large subunit ribosomal RNA". The record is from RNAcentral. Lineage: Eukaryota; Metazoa; Arthropoda; Insecta; Hemiptera; Aphididae.
UAUUUUAUAAAAAUAAUUUAUUUAUUUAAUGUUUUAGUAUUAAUUUAAAAUUAAUUUAAAGAUUUAUAGUUUAAAAGUAUUGUGAAAGAAUUAAUUAAAUUUUUAAAAGAAUAUAUUUAUAGUACCUUUUGUAUCAGGGUUAAUUAAAAUUUUUAAUUUAUUUUUUAAUUCUCAAAAUUUAUAGAGUUAAUUUUAUUAUUAAGUUAUUGUAAUAUAAAUAUUUAAAAAAUAAUUUUAGUUUUGAAAUUUAAUUCGUUAUAUUAUAUUUAGUUAUUUAAGAUUUAAAUUUAAUUUAAAAUUUUAAAAGUUAUAUUAAUUUAAUUUAUUAUAUAUUUUAAAUUUAAAUUAUUUUAGGGAUAAGCUUGAAAUUUUUAUAAAAUAAAUUUUUUUAUUAAUAAUUUAUAGGAAUAGAAAUUUUUAUUUAAGUUUGUAAAAAUUUAUUAUUUAUUUAAAAUUUUGAUUUAUUAUAAUUUAUUUAUUUUUAUUACUAAAUUGUAUUAAUUAAUAUUAUAUUUUUAGUAAUAAUGAUUAAAUUAGUAUAGUUAAAAAUUAUAAAUUAUGAAUUUGGCAAAAAUUAUUUUCAUCUGUUUAACAAAAACAUUGUAUUAAGUUUUAUUUAAUAUAGAAUCUGCUCAAUGAUUAAUUAAAUAGCUGCAGUAUUUUGACUGUGCAAAGGUAGCAUAGUAAUUAGUCUUUUAAUUGAGGACUUGAAUGAAUGAUUUGAUGAAAAAUAAACUUUAUUAUUUAUAAAAUUAAAAUUUUAUUUUUAAGUAAAAAAGCUUAAAUUUUUUAAAGGGACGAUAAGACCCUAUAAAACUUUAUAAAUAUUAUUUAUUAAAAAUUUGGUUAAAUAAUUAUUUAAUUUUUAUUAUUUAUUUUAUUGGGGUGAUAAAAAAAAUUAAUAAACUUUUUUUAAAAUUUUACAUUAUUUUAUGAUUUAUUGAAUUAAAAUUUUUAGUUAUAAGAAAAAGUUACUUUAGGGAUAACAGCGUAAUUAAUUUUUUAAGUUCAAAUUUAAAAAUUAGUUUGCGACCUCGAUGUUGAAUUAAGAUUAAUCUUAGGUGCAAAAUUUUAAGUAUUAGGUCUGUUCGACCUUUAAUUUCUUACAUGAUUUGAGUUCAAACC